AACGAACGCUGGCGGCAUGCCUAACACAUGCAAGUCGAACGAUGCCUUCGGGCAUAGUGGCGCACGGGUGCGUAACGCGUGGGAAUCUGCCCUUGGCUUCGGAAUAACAGUUAGAAAUGACUGCUAAUACCGGAUGAUGUCCCCCUAAGAGAUCUUGGGGACCAAAGAUUUAUCGGCCAGGGAUGAGCCCGCGUAGGAUUAGGUAGUUGGUGGGGUAAAGGCCUACCAAGCCGACGAUCCUUAGCUGGUCUGAGAGGAUGAUCAGCCACACUGGGACUGAGACACGGCCCAGACUCCUACGGGAGGCAGCAGUGGGGAAUAUUGGACAAUGGGGGGAACCCUGAUCCAGCAAUGCCGCGUGAGUGAUGAAGGCCUUAGGGUUGUAAAGCUCUUUUACCAGGGAUGAUAAUGACAGUACCUGGAGAAUAAGCUCCGGCUAACUCCGUG
This 447-nucleotide ribosomal RNA is filed under the name uncultured bacterium. RNAcentral's name for it is "partial 16S ribosomal RNA". It matches the Rfam family "Bacterial small subunit ribosomal RNA", at positions 29 to 507 of the family's 1533-position model. The record is from RNAcentral.